GAUGAAGAAUGCAGCGAAAUGCGAUAAGUAAUGUGAAUUGCAGAAUUCAGUGAAUCAUCGAAUCUUUGAACGCACAUUGCGCCCCUUGGUAUUCCGAGGGGCAUGCCUGUUCGAGCGUCAUUAUAACCCCUCAAGCUCAGCUUGGUGUUGGGGCCUGCUGCACUGGCAGCCCUUAAAAUCAGUGGCGGCGCCAUCUGGCUCUAAGCGUAGUAAUUCUUCUCGCUAUGGAGUCCUGGUGGAUGCUUGCCAUCAACCCCCAAUUUUUCUAUGGUUGACCUCGGAUCAGGUAGGGAUACCCGCUGAACUUAAGCAUAUCAAUAAGCGGAGGA
This 329-nucleotide unclassified non-coding RNA is filed under the name soil metagenome. RNAcentral's name for it is "partial contains 5.8S ribosomal RNA, internal transcribed spacer 2, and large subunit ribosomal RNA". The stretch from base 1 to 120 matches the Rfam family "5.8S ribosomal RNA", at positions 35 to 154 of the family's 154-position model. The record is from RNAcentral.